UAGGGAAUCUUCGGCAAUGGACGGAAGUCUGACCGAGCAACGCCGCGUGAGUGAAGAAGGUUUUCGGAUCGUAAAGCUCUGUUGUAAGAGAAGAACGAGUGUGAGAGUGGAAAGUUCACACUGUGACGGUAUCUUACCAGAAAGGGACGGCUAACUACGCGCCCGCAGCCGCGAUAAUNCUUCCCACCCGAGCGUUGUCCGGAUUUAUUGGGCGUAAAGCGAGCGCAGGCGGUUAGAUAAGUCUGAAGUUAAAGGCUGUGGCUUAACCAUAGUAGGCUUUGGAAACUGUUUAACUUGAGUGCAAGAGGGGAGAGUGGAAUUCCAUGUGUAGCGGUGAAAUGCGUAGAUAUAUGGAGGAACACCGGUGGCGAAAGCGGCUCUCUGGCUUGUAACUGACGCUGAGGCUCGAAAGCGUGGGGAGCAAACAGGAUUAGAUACCCUGGUAGUCCACGCUGUAAACGAUGAGUGCUAGGUGUUAGACCCUUUCCGGGGUUUAGUGCCGUAGCUAACGCAUUAAGCACUCCGCCUGGGGAGUACGACCGCAAGGUUG
Molecule: ribosomal RNA, 550 nt
Filed under: uncultured bacterium
Lineage: Bacteria
Description: bacterial SSU rRNA
Rfam family: Bacterial small subunit ribosomal RNA
Source: RNAcentral